AUGCGAGUCCAAGGUGCUUCACUCUCCUCACCUGCCGUAGCUGACUCUACAGGGGCCAUGUUCUACACAGGGGAUGCCCUGAGCUCCCGUGAAGAGAGCCAAGGCUUUCAUCUCUCCCGCCUCACCAUCUCCUCGCUUGCAGUAAGCUGCUUAAGUCUCCAUGUCUGGCCGGCGCCGCGCCUCACUAGGCUAAUCCUCUGCCUUGCGGCACCAGCACACCGGGUUCUAGUCCCGGUCGGGGCGCCGGAUUCUGUCCCGGUUGCCCCUCUUCCAGGCCAGCUCUCUGCUGUGGCCAGGGAGUGCAGUGGAGGAUGGCCCAAGUCCUUGGGCCCUGUACCCCAUGGGAGACCAGGAGAAGUAUCCAGACUAUGCUGAGGAGGUGGACCCAUCUGCAGCCCAGCAGAGGCCCUGGCUCAGCGUCCGGGCCUGCAUGUGAACUCUGAAACCCUGCCAGCAGCCAGCUCAGCCUUCUCAGUUUCCAGAGGGAAUUGAACCUCUGGAAUCUGGCUAGAGGCCCCAGCACAGCCCAGACAGGCCUUUGAGGAUGUGAAACCUCCAGUCCAGCUAGGGAGCCGCGCUGAAAUCCAGAAUCUCCUAUGGAGAGUAUAGCUCAGACUCCACCAGGUCAUGGGGUGACAGUGCAACCCCGAGCUCAGGACCACACUUGUCUUUUUGACUUGCCCAUGUUACACUUAAGCCUGCAGAUGUGGGGGUUGCCAUAACCUCAGCGCCUACCAAGGAGGCUGAAUCUUCUCCACUUAGGAGGCGGCCCCUGCUCAGACCCCAGGCCCUCCCUUGGAGACAGAACCUUCUCUCACUGGACAGCAGUGGUCAGCUCAGCGUGCUUAUUCUCCCAAGGAGGCUGAGCCUUCUCUAACCCAACAUGCACACCAGCUCAGACUCAGGCCCUCCGGUGGAGACAGAACCUUCUUCCAGGGAGCAGGGGCAACCGGGUGAGCCUCUGAGUACUCUGGGGAGGUUGAACCUUCUGGAAGCCGCUUCAGCCUCCAGAGCACACUGAUGAGAUGGAACCUUCUCCAGCCCAGCAGCAGAAGCCAGCCCAGUCUCCAUAGCCCAGAGCAUCAGGAGGUGACAGGAGCACCUUCAGGUCACCAUCAGUCAUGGCUUUCAGCUUUGCCAACGUGCCUAUAAACCUCCGGAUCUGCAGCUGCCACAUCAUCAGAGCCUACUGCAGAGGUGGGAACUUCUCUAAUGUGCCACGAGGCGACAGCUCAGCCCUCCGCCCCAGUUAAUGAUGUGGAACCUUCUGCGACCCAGCAUGAGGUCCUACAGAGCUUCCCGAGGAGUUGGGUUGUUGCUACUCAACAGAGGCUAUAGCUUAAUAGCCAGAGGUUUCCAGGAUAAAUAACCCUCUUCAAUCCAGUAGGAGACCAUGGCUGAGAACUCAGAUGAGGAGGUUGGACUUUCUCCAAUCCAGAGGGAAACCCCAGGUCUUCCUUCAGAAAUCACUAACGGCCGGUGCCGCGGCUCACUAGGCUAAUCCUCCGCUUUGCGGUGCCGGCACACCGGGUUCUUGUCCUGGUCGGGGCGCCGGAUUCUGUCCUGGUUGCCCCUCUUCCAGGCCAGCUCUCUGCUGUGGCCUGGGAGUGCAGUGGAGGAUGGCCCAAGUGCUUGGGCCCUGCACCCCAUGGGAGACCAGGAGAAGCACCUGGCUCCUGCCAUCGGAUCAGCACGGUGCGCCAGCUGCGGCGGCCAUUGGAGGGUGAACCAACAGCAAAGGAAGACUUUUCUCUCUGUCUCUCUCUCUCACUGUCCACUCUGCCUGCAUUAAAAAAAAAAAAUCACUAACGAAGUUGUAGCUCAACCUCCAGAGCGUCGUGAGACAACAGCUUCCCUCCGUGUCACGGCAGUAUCAGCAUCUGACAGCACACAGUCACUGGUGUGCCAGAGCUCACAAAUGAGGUCGAAACUUCAACCCAGAGGCCAGCGCUGUGGCACAGCAUGUGAAGGCACUGUCUGCAGUUCUGGCAUCCCCUGUGGACGCUGGUUUGAAUCAUGACGGCUUCACUUCUGAUUCAGCUCACUGUUAAUGCACCUGGUAAAGCAACGGAGGGUGGCUCAGGUGCUUCGGCUCCUGCACCCAUAUGGCAGACUUGGACGAAACUCCGACCAGCCCCGGCUAUUGCUGUCUUUUGGGGAAUGAACCAGUGGAUGGAAGAUUCUCUGUCUCUCCCUCUCUUUGUAAUUCUGUCUUUCAAAUAAAUGAGUAAAUCUUAAAAAAAAAAAAAAAAAA
This is a long non-coding RNA of Oryctolagus cuniculus (rabbit), 2254 nucleotides long. The record is from Ensembl. NCBI's taxonomy places the organism in Eukaryota, Metazoa, Chordata, Mammalia, Lagomorpha, Leporidae.